GGGAGCUUGCUCCCUGAUGUUAGCGGCGGACGGGUGAGUAACACGUGGGUAACCUGCCUGUAAGACUGGGAUAACUCCGGGAAACCGGGGCUAAUACCGGAUGCUUGUUUGAACCGCAUGGUUCAAACAUAAAAGGUGGCUUCGGCUACCACUUACAGAUGGACCCGCGGCGCAUUAGCUAGUUGGUGAGGUAACGGCUCACCAAGGCAACGAUGCGUAGCCGACCUGAGAGGGUGAUCGGCCACACUGGGACUGAGACACGGCCCAGACUCCUACGGGAGGCAGCAGUAGGGAAUCUUCCGCAAUGGACGAAAGUCUGACGGAGCAACGCCGCGUGAGUGAUGAAGGUUUUCGGAUCGUAAAGCUCUGUUGUUAGGGAAGAACAAGUACCGUUCGAAUAGGGCGGUACCUUGACGGUACCUAACCAGAAAGCCACGGCUAACUACGUGCCAGCAGCCGCGGUAAUACGUAGGUGGCAAGCGUUGUCCGGAAUUAUUGGGCGUAAAGGGCUCGCAGGCGGUUUCUUAAGUCUGAUGUGAAAGCCCCCGGCUCAACCGGGGAGGGUCAUUGGAAACUGNGGAACUUGAGUGCAGAAGAGGAGAGUGGAAUUCCACGUGUAGCGGUGAAAUGCGUAGAGAUGUGGAGGAACACCAGUGGCGAAG
This 662-nucleotide ribosomal RNA is filed under the name Bacillus sp. PhelSs13. RNAcentral's name for it is "bacterial SSU rRNA". It matches the Rfam family "Bacterial small subunit ribosomal RNA", at positions 74 to 720 of the family's 1533-position model. Lineage: Bacteria; Bacillati; Bacillota; Bacilli; Caryophanales; Bacillaceae. The record is from RNAcentral.